Molecule: ribosomal RNA, 382 nt
Filed under: uncultured bacterium
Lineage: Bacteria
Description: bacterial SSU rRNA
Rfam family: Bacterial small subunit ribosomal RNA
Source: RNAcentral
AGCGAACGCUGGCGGCAGGCUUAACACAUGCAAGUCGAGCGGGCCCUUCGGGGUCAGCGGCAGACGGGUGAGUAACACGUGGGAACGUACCCUUCGGUUCGGAAUAACUCAGGGAAACUUGAGCUAAUACCGGAUACGCCCUUUGGGGAAGGUUUACUGCCGAAGGAUCGGCCCGCGUCUGAUUAGCUAGUUGGUGGGGUAAUGGCCCACCAAGGCGACGAUCAGUAGCUGGUCUGAGAGGAUGAUCAGCCACACUGGGACUGAGACACGGCCCAGACUCCUACGGGAGGCAGCAGUGGGGAAUAUUGGACAAUGGGCGCAAGCCUGAUCCAGCCAUGCCGCGUGAGUGAUGAAGGCCUUAGGGUUGUAAAGCUCUUUCGAC